This 70-nucleotide small RNA is filed under the name Mycolicibacterium phlei DSM 43239 = CCUG 21000. RNAcentral's name for it is "Mycobacterium phlei DSM 43239 = CCUG 21000 Mycobacterium sRNA Ms_IGR-8". It matches the Rfam family "Mycobacterium sRNA Ms_IGR-8". The record is from Rfam by way of RNAcentral. Lineage: Bacteria; Bacillati; Actinomycetota; Actinomycetes; Mycobacteriales; Mycobacteriaceae.
CUGACUUUCUGCCGCGAUUGUGGAGCUGCUGCGCCAUCCCGGCUGAACAGGCCUGAUUCGCAGUAGCUCC